CCCCCCCCCCCCCCCCAUCAUCUUCUUCUCUCUUCGGUCUCUCACAGCCACGACCCAUCAUCGAUCACGGCCGCCGCCCCGGCUUGGACAGGUAGACGCGGCACUGGAUCAGUGUCCGCCCGACUCUGAACCCCGGCAGAACGGUGAAGCCGACCACGCGGUCCUCGGCGUCGUCGCCGGCGCUCCCGUCGCUGGCGCUCUCCAUGUACACCUCCGAGAAGCGCGCCCCCGUGCGCACCUGGAAGAUGGACGCGCCGUCCUCCUCGGCGCCGCCGUCGAACGCGAAGAAGAGGCAGUGCAGCAGCCACACGCGGCGCGCCAUCUCCGCGAAGUCCGCGAACCACGAGCUCUCCGGGAACCCGGGCCCGGCGCUCACGAUGCCGCGCUGCUCCAGCCGCCCGAAGAAGGCCGUCUCCAUCCGCGCGUGCACCAGCGACAGGUACUUGGCGCGCAGGAACUUGCCGAGCCCGCCCCACCGCGGGCUCCUCGCGUCCAGGAACGCGCUCGCCGGCUCCGCCUUCAGCUCCGUGAACUCCUCGAAGAAGCGCCGCCGCUCGUAGAACUCCCGCUCGCCCAGGAAGCUGAAGUUGAAGUCGCGGCGGUGGAAGUUGGCGAACAUCUUCAUCGCCACGUACGACUCGAACACGAACUUGGCGUCGCCGGCGCGCCGGAGCGGGACGCCCGGGUGCACGGCGGCGGCCGCCGCGCCCAGAUCCCACCCGGCGGACUGCAUCGAGCUCAGCAUCGACCUGGAGAAGGACCGGAUCGACUUCACCGUGUGCCGCAGCGCGGUCAGGAAGUGGGUCGGGUUCAGGCCCGAGAGGUGGAGCUCGUCCAGCGACGCCAGGGUCCGCCCCGGGUGGAGCCGCGCCUCCAGGGCGCGCUCGGCGCGGAGCUCGCCGGUCAGGGAGCUCCUGGCGCGCUCGGCCUCGGCGUCCCUGGCCCGGAGGUCCGACUCCAGCUUGCGCGCCGUGAUCUGGUACGUCUUGAGGAGGUGGCGCUGCUCCUCGGCGUGCGCCGCGAGCGCGGUGUGGCCCGCCGCCGCCGCGCCCCGGGCCGCGGCGGCGGGGUCCCUCAGGUACCUCCGCUUGGUGUCGGAGAGCCUCGUCAGCUCGGCGACCACGGCGGCGUCCGCGGACUGGAUCGCCUCCGCGUCGUAGGGGAACUGCGCGAGCUGCAGCUGCGCGUACGCCGCCUUCACCGCCGAGACCCCCGCGAAGAGGUUGGCCAGCAGCGCAUCCGCCGCGGCCUCCAGCGUCACCUCCCCCGCACCCGCAGGCUGCCGGACCGCUCCCCCUCCCGCCGCCGCCGCCUUCUUCUCGGCGGCGUUGCGGAAGAAGGCGUCGAAGGAGUAGGCGGCGGCGAGGUUCCCCGACAGCUUGAGCUUGCUGAGGGACGGGAUGGCGGGCGGAGGCUCCGUCCGCUCCUCCUCCAGCGCGUCUCCUGGAGCCACAGAAGCGGGCGCCUCGGGCGCGCCGCCCUGCGCCGCGGCCUCGGCGCGCUUGCGGCGGAGCAGCUUGGUGAAGGUGCGCGCCAGGUUGGCCGCCUUCUGCUGCUGUUGCUGCUGCUGGUGUGGCGGAGCCGCCACUUGCGUCUCCAUUGGGGCGGGCCGGGUUGCUCUCACCGCCGGCUGCUCGUCUCCCUCCUGCAGCUUCCCCCCUGUCCUCGUGUCUUGUGGCGUCCGUCCGGGCCUGGGGCCUCUCGCCUGCUUUGGCCUGUGGGUGGAAACGCGGGUGGGAUUAAUUUUUCCAGGAAUAUUUGGGGGUUACUGUAAAGUAAAAGGGACCUGCGCCUACCUGCCUAUGUACGCGUACGUAUACCGUGCGUGCGCGCACGCGUGGUUCGCCUACCGAUGAUGCAGAGGGCUGGACGUCUAAUUUGUGGAAACAGGGAGGGGCGUGGCCGCGAAAUUUCCCACACCACCACCACCACCAGUCUGUCCACCACGGGAGAAAUGAAACGGUUUUCUCUAGAGGAUUCC
RNAcentral lists this unclassified non-coding RNA (1981 nucleotides) under Zea mays. RNAcentral describes it as "misc RNA Zm00001eb120790". The record is from RNAcentral. Lineage: Eukaryota; Viridiplantae; Streptophyta; Magnoliopsida; Poales; Poaceae.